This is a non-coding RNA of Vicia faba (fava bean), 351 nucleotides long. NCBI's taxonomy places the organism in Eukaryota, Viridiplantae, Streptophyta, Magnoliopsida, Fabales, Fabaceae. The record is from the annotation of a GenBank genome assembly.
CACAAGUCCAACCCAAUCAAAUUUCAUUAUUCAGUUUUUUAUUAUCUAAGAAUAAGAAAUAACCAAAAUGUAGCAAAAAAAUUAAACGAACAAAGUAACAUGUGUGGAUUAGGGUUAAAUUCUUGUGAUGCUUCAUCUUCCAAACAAAAUCAACUCCCUCUCUCUUCGUGCAGAUGGGCCGAUCAACUUCCAUCAUCGGUGGCUUGUCUCAUCAUGAUCUCAGACUACUCCUUCAUCUUCGUCAGCGGAAACCUUAACCCCAGCGAUCUCCGAUGCUACGCCAUGAGUCAGCAUCUCCUUCGUCUCAUGGAGAAAAUCGUUGUGUUGAUGAGAAGUGAAAAUGAACUAUGA